AUUGAACGCUGGCGGCAUGCUUUACACAUGCAAGUCGAACGGCAGCGCGGGCUUCGGCCUGGCGGCGAGUGGCGAACGGGUGAGUAAUGCAUCGGAACGUACCCAGUAGUGGGGGAUAGCCCGGCGAAAGCCGGAUUAAUACCGCAUACGACCUGAGGGUGAAAGCGGGGGACCGAAAGGCCUCGCGCUAUUGGAGCGGCCGAUGUCGGAUUAGCUAGUUGGUGGGGUAAAGGCUUACCAAGGCGACGAUCCGUAGCUGGUCUGAGAGGACGACCAGCCACACUGGGACUAAGACACGGCCCAGACUCCUACGGGAGGCAGCAGUGGGGAAUUUUGGACAAUGGGGGCAACCCUGAUCCAGCCAUGCCGCGUGCGGGAAGAAGGCCUUCGGGUUGUAAACCGCUUUUGUUCGGGAAGAAAUCCUCUGGGCUAAUACCCCGGGGGGAUGACGGUACCGGAAGAAUAAGCACCGGCUAACUACGUG
Molecule: ribosomal RNA, 484 nt
Filed under: uncultured bacterium
Lineage: Bacteria
Description: partial 16S ribosomal RNA
Rfam family: Bacterial small subunit ribosomal RNA
Source: RNAcentral